CUUUCCCCCCAUAAUGGAACUAGUGGGGGCCUCAUCUUCAGUGAAGACCUCCUCCAUGCGGGCAUAUUUCUCCAUUCAGACCAGCAUGUCAGAGAAGUCCCGAGGAUAGGUCUUCACCAGUCGCCUCUUGAGGUCACUCUUUAGAAGUCUGCUCAUCAUUACGGAUAUCGUAAUCGAUUGAUCUAGAUCAUGAACCUCUAGAGUGAUCGCAUCAAAGUGGCUAACAAAAGAUCAGAUCGACUCGUCCUCCUUUUGCUUGACGGUAUAGAGAUAGUCGGACCGCUUCUGUUGAUGUUGGCUACUGACAAAAUGACCGAUGAAAGAUCGGCUCAACUACUUAAAAGAGUGGAUCA
This 353-nucleotide long non-coding RNA is filed under the name Elaeis guineensis (African oil palm). RNAcentral describes it as "long non-coding RNA (EGUI_LNC020957)". Lineage: Eukaryota; Viridiplantae; Streptophyta; Magnoliopsida; Arecales; Arecaceae. The record is from RNAcentral.